UUUUUUUUUUUUUUUUUUUAAAUAUAUAUAUAUUUGGGCUUCUUAAAGCCCAAAUAUAGAUUUAGAGAAAAAUAAUUGGACGACCUGUCGUUGGAGAGUGGAGAUAGCGGCCACCGCUAAAUUAGGAUUUGAGUACGGAGGUUUUGAAAAUGAUGACUUUUCUCUCGUUGCUCUUGAAUGACAUGGAAAAGUUUCCCUCGUCGCCAGAGAAAUCCAUCGAAAGCACUUGUCGUACGGAGUCAGCAGUCGUUCUCUCUAUCUCCACCACUGCUCCACCAUUAACCCAACCGGAUUUCAACAAUAUCUGCAUAACAACAGUUGUAAUUAAUAAUAUAUACAAGUUAGUAGCAGAGCUAGUGAAUGAAAUAAGCAAAACAGCAACAUGAAGACAAGUCUGAUCGAAACCAUCAACUUGAAUCAACUGAGGCCGCUGCAAAAGGAGUUCCACCAGCCCAAGAUGCCCAUGGCGACAAGCCAAGAAAAGUGGAGUCUGGUUCUUUUUAUUAAUCUUAUUAUGUGCGGCUUCGACAUUGACACCAAUCAAAAGCUUUAACAUUUCAGGAUUGCAAUGGCGACAGGCUAAAUGAAAUGGAGUGUCGCCUUUUCCAUCCUGUGCUGCAACCAGUUCAGGACACAGCUCCAU
Non-coding RNA from Jatropha curcas, 643 nucleotides. The record is from RefSeq and is a predicted model, not a curated record. NCBI's taxonomy places the organism in Eukaryota, Viridiplantae, Streptophyta, Magnoliopsida, Malpighiales, Euphorbiaceae.